GAUGAACGCUGGCGGCGUGCCUAAUACAUGCAAGUCGAGCGAACAGACGAGGAUCUUGCUCCUCUGACGUUAGCGGCGGACGGGUGAGUAACACGUGGAUAACCUACCUAUAAGACUGGGAUAACUUCGGGAAACCGGAGCUAAUACCGGAUAAUAUAUUGAACCGCAUGGUUCAAUAGUGAAAUACGGUUUUUCUGUCACUUAUAGAUGCAUCCGCGCCUCAUUAGCUAGUUGUUAAGUUAACGGCUUACCAAGGCAACGAUGCGUAGACGACCUGAGAGGGUGAUCGGCAACACUGGAACUGAGACACGGUCAAGACUCCUACGGGAGGCAGCAGUAGGGAAUCUUACGCAAUGGGCGAAAGCAUGACGGAGCAAGGCGGAGUGAGUGAUGAAGGUCUUCGGAUCGUAAAACUCUGUUAUUAGGGAAGAACAAAUGUGUAAGUAAAUAUGCACGUAUUGACGGUACCUAAUAAGAAAGCAACGGCUAACUACGUG
RNAcentral lists this ribosomal RNA (497 nucleotides) under uncultured bacterium. Its description in RNAcentral is "partial 16S ribosomal RNA". It matches the Rfam family "Bacterial small subunit ribosomal RNA", at positions 28 to 507 of the family's 1533-position model. The record is from RNAcentral.